AGAAAGUAUGUUUAAUUAUUUUAGACUUGCAUGACCAAGUCUUCUGUGCCAAAGGAGGGGAUCAUUUUUUAUAGCACUUAGACAGGUCAUCUCAGAUCCUGGUAAUGCCAUAAUAUCGGCUUUGUAUACAUUUCUGUAUCUCUUUGCAGUGAGCACCACUUCUUUGGUGUCCAUCCUUUUGACUUUAACCCUUGCAGCAGUAAAAAUAACUUUAUUACCUUUGUCACACAACUGUGAAGUACUCAGCAGGUUGUGCUUUAGUCCCUCAACAAGAUAGA
RNAcentral lists this long non-coding RNA (278 nucleotides) under Capsicum annuum. RNAcentral describes it as "long non-coding RNA (CANN_LNC019997)". Lineage: Eukaryota; Viridiplantae; Streptophyta; Magnoliopsida; Solanales; Solanaceae. The record is from RNAcentral.